AUUACCGAAACACCCUCAGAUCCGGUCCAAACACCUUCGCGAGCGAGACCCCCGGGGCCGGCGCGGCGCCCGCAGCCCCCCAGAAACACGAAGCGAAGAGUCGAGUGGCCUUCGAGAUUUCGCCGGCAUUCGUUUCAGUCGGUUGCGGCGCGGCAUCGGCGAGUUCCGAACGGAGCGUGGGUGUGAUCCGGCGAUCGGGCGGUGGAAUGGUGGUGCCGGAGGCUGUGGCGCUGGAGAUACCGGCGGCGGAGGAGGGGUCGCCGCCGCCUGCCAGGGUGCCGCCGAGGAUCAGGCGGAGGCUCCUCCGGGCGCGGGGCGGCGGUGCCGGCGAGACGCCGACGGCCGAGGAGAUCGAGGCCAAGCUCCGCGAGGCGCAUCUCCGGAGGCAGCAAUUCCACGAAACAUUGUCCUCCAGAGCAAGGCGCUCAAUUAGGAGUCCUUCAGGGUCAUCUGAGAAGGAGGAUCGUGGGCAGCUCUUGGAAGCAAAGCUUGUGGCCGCCAAGCAGAAGAGGUUGAGCCUCUUGGCAAAGGAACAGAGUCGGUUGGCUAAGCUGGACGAGCUGCGACAGGCUGCAAAAAAUGAUGCUGAGACGAGGUUUGAGAGGGAAAGGGAAGAACUCGGAAUGAGAGUUGAAUCGCGGGUUCGGCAGGCUGAGAAGAACCGUAUGGAACUCCUGCAUGCACGUUUGCAGAGGCGGGCUGCAUUGGAGGAGAGGACAAAAAGGUUUUUUGUGCAAAGACUGACUUGGGAGAACAAGUACAGGGAGCGUGUACGUUCUGCAAUCCUUCAGAAGCGUACUGCUGCUGAGAAGAGACGAUCAGGGCUGCUGGAAUCUGAGAAAAGACGGGGACAGGGUAGGCUCUUGCAGGUCCAACUUGCUGCCAAGACUGCCUCUAACCAGAAAGAAAUUGAGAGGGGCAAGUUAAAAGAGCAAUUGGAAGACAAACUUCAGAGGGCAAAGCAGCAGAGGCCCGAUUAUUUGAAGCAGCGAGGAAGUCCUCAUGGCUCUAUGCGCAGCAGUUCGGUUAAAAAUGGAGAAUUUCUUUCAAGAAAACUGGCAAGAUGCUGGAGAAUAUUCAUAACUUCUAGGAAAACAACAGUGGUGUUGGCUAGGGCAUUCGAUUCGCUGGGGAUAAAUCGGCAAACAGUUGUGUCUAUGCCAUUUGAAGAAUUAGCUAUAUGCAUUGAAUCUCCCAUAGUUCUUCAGACCACCAAGGCGUUGCUUGACCGGUUGGAGAGUCGUUUUGUUCUCUCUCAGUCAUCAAGUUCAUCAAAACCAGAAAAUAUUGACCAUCUUCUAAAGCACCUGGGAUCACCGAAGAGGAGGAUCCACCCAAGAAAUGCAGGAAGAAAUAAAUCAGCACCUAAAAGGGCAGUUGGAAAUCAUGACUCUGGCAAGCUGUCUAGAUAUUCGCAAAGGAUUGCACUUUGUGCAUACAUGAUACUAGGUCAUCCAAAAUCUGUUCUUAGUGGACAGGGUGAGCGAGAGAAAUUGCUUGUGGAGUCAGCAACAAACUUUGUGAAGGAAUUUGAAUUGCUGGUUAAAACAAUACUUGAUGCCUUAGAUGGUGCGUGCAUAUUGAGUCAGUCAGUGCUAGAUGUUGCCUCUCCUGGAUGUUCUAGUUAUGAGGAGUCCUCUUCCAUUGUUGCUGAUCGGAAGAAAUUCAGAACUCAGUUGGUUGCCUUUGAUAAAGCUUGGUGUGCUUAUCUUUACCAUUUUGUGGCAUGGAAAGCAAAAGACGCGAAAUCACUAGAGGAAGAUCUUAUUCGAGCCGCAUGCAGGCUUGAACUGUCAAUGAUCCAAGCAUGCAAAAUAACUAAUGAAGCCCAAUCAGAUAACCUAGGCGGUGAUUUGAAAGCCAUUCAGCAACAGGUUGCAGAAGACCAGAAACUUUUAAGGGAGAGGAUUCAACACUUGGGUGGUGAAGCUGGUAUUGGAAGGAUGGAAUCUGCUUUAUCUGAAACAAGGUCAAAGUUCUUUCAAGCAAAGGACGAUAGGAGCUCCAUUGCAGCUACAGCUGCAAAUAUAGCAUCUCCUUCAGUUGCAUGUUCUUCUGGACAGUGUACUGUUUAUGAAAUUAGGAAUAAUUCUAAUAUUGAUGCUGAAAAGACAAGUCAAGUUGUCAAAUCUCUGUUUGGAUCUUCUGGUUCCUCAUCUGAAAGUAGCAAAGGAGGCAAACACAUGAGUAGCACACUGAGCAUUGCAGUACCAGAAAAAAUGCCAACUGAAAAUGAACAAAUAGUCAAUGAGAUACUCCAUGACAUCCAUGGCUCUUUUGCUGACAUCUCUGAUGGUAUUGGUACUGUUGAAGGUGAUUUCAAGGUAAAAGUCAAGGAAACAAUGGAGAAAGCUUUCUGGGACGUGGUUGCGGAUUCAAUGCGAGGAGACAUGCCAGAUUACAGUUAUCUGGUCAGCCUGGUAAAGGAAGUCAGGGAAGCGUUGCAAGAGCUAGCUCCAACAGGGUGGAAAGAAGAAAUAAGUGACAAUAUUAACCUUGAAAUUUUGACCCAGGUACUUGAGUCAGGCUCCCAGGACAGACAUUACCUAGGACAAAUUUUGCAGUACUCUCUGGAUAAGCUGCGAAAGCUAUCUUCUCCUGCAAAGGAAGACGAGAUGAAGAAGAGUCAUGAUAAAUUGUUGGUAGAGUUGAUUGAAGUCCCUGAAUCAGAUUGUAGAGGUCCAAAUUCAUCUGUUCUUUCUGUCAUCAAGGGUUUGCGCUUCACUAUGGAAGAAUUAAAGGCUCUGAAGGCAGAAGUCAGUAGAGCACGCCUCCAACUAUUGGAACCAAUCAUUAAGGGAUCAGGUGGAGUGGAGUACCUGCAGAAGUCUUUUGCUGAUCGCUAUGGUUCCCCUUCUGAUGCGUUAGCUUCUCUCCCUUCAACUGCCUGUUGGAUUUCUUCCAUGAAAGGUAUUGUGGAAGAACAGUGGAAUGAACAUGUCAGUUCACUAUCGAUUCUACCAGCAGCAGACCAUGUCCAGCCGCUUGUUGCCACUCUCCGAAGUGGGCUUGCAGUUCCAGGUCAGCUACGAUCUGCGAUACCUGCAGCAGGCAGUACAGAGCUACCAGAAUGCGGGGGAGAAAGACUUGGCAGGUUAAUAAGGAUUGGGUUGUUGCAACUCAUCAGCAGCACGGAGGGUGUGCAAAGGCAGUCAGUUCCUGAGACAUUUAUUCUCAAUUGGUUGAGGUUGCGGUCUGUUCAGAGUAGAUUCCAACAAGUCAUUGUGAUAGCAACAAGCAUGCUUGUCUUGCAUCAGGUCUUAGUGAGUGAAUACCCGAAGAUAACUUCUUUAGAAAUGGAAAAUGCAACCUUGGAACUGUUCAACAUGCUCACUAGGCUACUAGACACCUUUGCAGAUGUUGGCACUGAAAAGAUCAUUGAGGCGAUGAUGCAUUCUUCGGCCUCAAGGAGCUCUUCAUCAAACGAAAUGAUGGAGACCAGGAAGCAGAUUUUGACUAGGGUCUUCCUUAAAAGCCUUCAGACCGAUGAUACCGUCUUCAAGAAGGUCUCUCAGUCUGUGUACUGUGCAUUCCGGGCAAUAACCCUGGGUGGCAGUGGGGAGAAAGGCCGCAAGCUUGCCGAUGCAUCCCUGAGGCGCAUCGGGGCAACAAAACUCACUGAGAGAGUGACGAAUACAGCUGAAGUGCUUAUCAGAGCAGCAAUGGUGUCAGAACAGGUGCACGGCCCAUGGUAUAAGCAGUUGUUGUGAAUGGUUCAAUUACUGAAUCUUGAUACGCAGUGUAACUUGCACCUUGUUGAGGUUGCGGAAACAGCAUUGUACAGCGAUCUGCGAGUGUUUGGGAGUCAGGAUCAAGAUUUCAAUCUUCCUAUGGCAGCGUGAGUAAUCAAUCUCUCUGAUGCUGAUCAGAACGCGGGAUGAGUUCAUCCUUGGGGAAGCAUGUAAUUUGGCGAUGCUUGUGUGAGGAUGCUCACGAAGACAGCUGCUCUGCCUCCGGUGCCGCCGCGGAAGCCUCGACUGCGGUAUCUAUGUUGUUUUCACCAGUAACUUUAAGGAUGUGCUUUACAAUAUCUUCUAUUAGCUUAUUUGCUUCAAAGUUGAGUGACACACAUAUCCAAAACUUGACAUCAAAAUGCUUUUGUACUUCUUGUUUGCGAUAUAUGUAUUGUGUAAGUGUGAUCUUCCCUA
Molecule: RNA transcript, 4148 nt
Organism: Panicum hallii
Lineage: Eukaryota; Viridiplantae; Streptophyta; Magnoliopsida; Poales; Poaceae
Exons: 13
Source: RefSeq, a predicted model, not a curated record